CCCUGCACAGGCCGUCCUCCCCAACAACAUCCUGGUGCUGAGUGAUGGCACAGGUGACUCCAGCAUCAGUGAUUUUGUUGAAGAGGGCAGCUGCCA
Molecule: microRNA precursor, 96 nt
Organism: Cricetulus griseus (Chinese hamster)
Lineage: Eukaryota; Metazoa; Chordata; Mammalia; Rodentia; Cricetidae
Source: Ensembl